Manihot esculenta (cassava) is the source of this 399-nucleotide long non-coding RNA. RefSeq lists it as uncharacterized. The transcript is spliced from 2 exons. The record is from RefSeq and is a predicted model, not a curated record. Lineage: Eukaryota; Viridiplantae; Streptophyta; Magnoliopsida; Malpighiales; Euphorbiaceae.
UAGGCCGAUCAUCAAGAACCGAAGAGCUUCUUCUUCUGGGAAGUUCAGAUUAAGAGUAUUGUCUACCACCUUUAUAAGUUUGUUGUCCUUGUAGGCUUGCCAUGCCUGAAGAUAUUCACACACAGAAAACACUUCAGACAAGGUAAUGUUCACCAAGUUCCAAGUCAAAAUCCACAGCUGAUCGUCCGCUGAUAAUUUCCAACAGCAGCACUCCAAAACUGUAAACAUCCGAUUUUCGUGUCAAAUGUCCUGUAAUGGCGUAUUCUGGAGCAAGGUAUCCUCUUUUUUUUUGGCAUUUGUGAGUCCAAGAAACCUCAUUAGCUAUUGUAUUUUUCUUAGUUAACAGUAUAUAUGUAUAUGUAUAAACAAUAAAGCAGAAUCCACUUACAGUGUGCCUGC